Molecule: transfer RNA, 76 nt
Filed under: Snodgrassella alvi
Lineage: Bacteria; Pseudomonadati; Pseudomonadota; Betaproteobacteria; Neisseriales; Neisseriaceae
Description: tRNA-Thr
Rfam family: tRNA
About the family: Transfer RNA (tRNA) molecules are approximately 80 nucleotides in length. Their secondary structure includes four short double-helical elements and three loops (D, anti-codon, and T loops).
Source: RNAcentral
GCCAGUAUAGCUCAGUUGGUAGAGCAGCGCACUCGUAACGCGAAGGUCGUAGGUUCGAUUCCUAUUAUUGGCACCA